UUAAGCGACUAAGCGUACACGGUGGAUGCCCUGGCAGUCAGAGGCGAUGAAGGACGUGCUAAUCUGCGAAAAGCGUCGGUAAGGUGAUAUGAACCGUUAUAACCGGCGAUGUCCGAAUGGGGAAACCCAGUGCAAUUCGUUGCACUAUCGUUAACUGAAUACAUAGGUUAACGAGGCGAACCGGGGGAACUGAAACAUCUAAGUACCCCGAGGAAAAGAAAUCAACCGAGAUUCCCCCAGUAGCGGCGAGCGAACGGGGAGCAGCCCAGAGUCUGAAUCAGCUUGUGUGUUAGUGGAACGGUCUGGAAAGUCCGACGGUACAGGGUGAUAGUCCCGUACACCAAAAUGCACAGGCUGUGAACUCGAAGAGUAGGGCGGGACACGUGGUAUCCUGUCUGAAUAUGGGGGGACCAUCCUCCAAGGCUAAAUACUCCUGACUGACCGAUAGUGAACCAGUACCGUGAGGGAAAGGCGAAAAGAACCCCGGCGAGGGGAGUGAAAAAGAACCUGAAACCGUGUACGUACAAGCAGUGGGAGCACCUUCGGGUGUGACUGCGUACCUUUUGUAUAAUGGGUCAGCGACUUAUAUUCUGUAGCAAGGUUAACCGUAUAGGGGAGCCGCAGGGAAACCGAGUCUUAACUGGGCGUUAAGUUGCAGGGUAUAGACCCGAAACCCGGUGAUCUAGCCAUGGGCAGGUUGAAGGUUGGGUAACACUAACUGGAGGACCGAACCGACUAAUGUUGAAAAAUUAGCGGAUGACUUGUGGCUGGGGGUGAAAGGCCAAUCAAACCGGGAGAUAGCUGGUUCUCCCCGAAAGCUAUUUAGGUAGCGCCUCGUGAAUUCAUCUUCGGGGGUAGAGCACUGUUUCGGCUAGGGGGUCAUCCCGACUUACCAACCCGAUGCAAACUACGAAUACCGAAGAAUGUUAUCACGGGAGACACACGGCGGGUGCUAACGUCCGUCGUGAAGAGGGAAACAACCCAGACCGCCAGCUAAGGUCCCAAAGUCAUGGUUAAGUGGGAAACGAUGUGGGAAGGCACAGACAGCCAGGAUGUUGGCUUAGAAGCAGCCAUCAUUUAAAGAAAGCGUAAUAGCUCACUGGUCGAGUCGGCCUGCGCGGAAGAUGUAACGGGGCUAAACCAUGCACCGAAGCUGCGGCAGCGACACUAUGUGUUGUUGGGUAGGGGAGCGUUCUGUAAGCCUGCGAAGGUGACCUGUGAGGGUUGCUGGAGGUAUCAGAAGUGCGAAUGCUGACAUAAGUAACGAUAAAGCGGGUGAAAAGCCCGCUCGCCGGAAGACCAAGGGUUCCUGUCCAACGUUAAUCGGGGCAGGGUGAGUCGACCCCUAAGGCGAGGCCGAAAGGCGUAGUCGAUGGGAAACAGGUUAAUAUUCCUGUACUUGGUGUUACUGCGAAGGGGGGACGGAGAAGGCUAUGUUAGCCGGGCGACGGUUGUCCCGGUUUAAGCAUGUAGGCUGGUUAUCCAGGCAAAUCCGGAUAAUCAAGGCUGAGGUGUGAUGACGAGGCACUACGGUGCUGAAGUAACAAAUGCCCUGCUUCCAGGAAAAGUCUCUAAGCAUCAGGUAACAUCAAAUCGUACCCCAAACCGACACAGGUGGUCAGGUAGAGAAUACCAAGGCGCUUGAGAGAACUCGGGUGAAGGAACUAGGCAAAAUGGUGCCGUAACUUCGGGAGAAGGCACGCUGGUGUGUAGGUGAAGCCCCUGCGGGUGGAGCUGAGACCAGUCGAAGAUACCAGCUGGCUGCAACUGUUUAUUAAAAACACAGCACUGUGCAAACACGAAAGUGGACGUAUACGGUGUGACGCCUGCCCGGUGCCGGAAGGUUAAUUGAUGGGGUUAUCCGUAAGGAGAAGCUCUUGAUCGAAGCCCCGGUAAACGGCGGCCGUAACUAUAACGGUCCUAAGGUAGCGAAAUUCCUUGUCGGGUAAGUUCCGACCUGCACGAAUGGCGUAAUGAUGGCCAGGCUGUCUCCACCCGAGACUCAGUGAAAUUGAACUCGCUGUGAAGAUGCAGUGUACCCGCGGCAAGACGGAAAGACCCCGUGAACCUUUACUAUAGCUUGACACUGAACAUUGAGCCUUGAUGUGUAGGAUAGGUGGGAGGCUUUGAAGCGUGGACGCCAGUCUGCGUGGAGCCAACCUUGAAAUACCACCCUUUAAUGUUUGAUGUUCUAACGUUGGCCCCUGACCGGGGUUGCGGACAGUGUCUGGUGGGUAGUUUGACUGGGGCGGUCUCCUCCCAAAGCGUAACGGAGGAGCACGAAGGUUAGCUAAUCCUGGUCGGACAUCAGGAGGUUAGUGCAAUGGCAUAAGCUAGCUUGACUGCGAGCGUGACGGCGCGAGCAGGUGCGAAAGCAGGUCAUAGUGAUCCGGUGGUUCUGAAUGGAAGGGCCAUCGCUCAACGGAUAAAAGGUACUCCGGGGAUAACAGGCUGAUACCGCCCAAGAGUUCAUAUCGACGGCGGUGUUUGGCACCUCGAUGUCGGCUCAUCACAUCCUGGGGCUGAAGUAGGUCCCAAGGGUAUGGCUGUUCGCCAUUUAAAGUGGUACGCGAGCUGGGUUUAGAACGUCGUGAGACAGUUCGGUCCCUAUCUGCCGUGGGCGCUGGAGAAUUGAGGGGGGCUGCUCCUAGUACGAGAGGACCGGAGUGGACGCAUCACUGGUGUUCGGGUUGUCAUGCCAAUGGCACUGCCCGGUAGCUAAAUGCGGAAGAGAUAAGUGCUGAAAGCAUCUAAGCACGAAACUUGCCCCGAGAUGAGUUCUCCCUGAGACUAUAAGUCUCCUGAAGGAACGUUAAAGACGAUGACGUUGAUAGGCCGGGUGUGUAAGCGCAGCGAUGCGUUGAGCUAACCGGUACUAAUGAACCGUGAGGCUUAACCUU
This 2900-nucleotide ribosomal RNA is filed under the name Klebsiella pneumoniae. Its description in RNAcentral is "bacterial LSU rRNA". It matches the Rfam family "Bacterial large subunit ribosomal RNA". Lineage: Bacteria; Pseudomonadati; Pseudomonadota; Gammaproteobacteria; Enterobacterales; Enterobacteriaceae. The record is from RNAcentral.